Long non-coding RNA from Artibeus jamaicensis (Jamaican fruit-eating bat), 696 nucleotides. RefSeq lists it as uncharacterized. NCBI's taxonomy places the organism in Eukaryota, Metazoa, Chordata, Mammalia, Chiroptera, Phyllostomidae. The transcript has 3 exons. The record is from RefSeq and is a predicted model, not a curated record.
CUGGUCUCCAAGGCCCCUUCUGGCACGUACCCCACAGGAUUUGAUGAUUCAUUCCUGCCUGCCACCGAUCCUGGAUUGACCAAGCUCACCCAUGGAGAGAGACAUGCAAGAAUGGCAGGUUACCACCCUUCAGUGAAGAGAAACACUACUGAAGCUCAUCAGCCCUUUUUUGGAAACAGGAGAAGAGAUUCACUUCUCUGCCUGUCUAAGGAGACAGAUGUGGACAUCAGUGCCCUUACACAAAGCAGUUGGUGGUUCUAAAUAAGAUGAAGCGGCAGUAUGUUGAUGGAGUAUAUUCAGAGAUUAAAAAAGAAAGUAUACUUUUCUAGAAGUUACUCAAGAGAAAUGAAGACAUAUGCCCACAAAGCCUUGUCUGUAAAUAUUCUGAGCUGUAUGUCUCAUAAUAGCCAAAUAAAACAUGGAAAAAUGCCAAAGGUCCAUCAGCCAGUGAAUGCAUGAACAAAACAUUUCCAUUUUGGUGAAUACUAUUCAACAAUAAAAAGGAAUGAACUACUGAUACAUGCAGCAGCACGGAUGAACCUUGAAAACAUUAUGGGAAGUGAAAGAAACCAGACACAAGAGCUACGAAAUAUAAGAUUCCAUUAAUAUGAAAUUUCUAGAAAAGGCAAAGCUAUAGUUUAUAAGAAACAGAUCAACAGUUGCGUAAGGAUGGGGUUGGAGACAGAAUUGACUGCA